RNAcentral lists this ribosomal RNA (759 nucleotides) under Monothalamids sp. RNAcentral's name for it is "SSU rRNA". It matches the Rfam family "Eukaryotic small subunit ribosomal RNA", at positions 1160 to 1633 of the family's 1831-position model. The record is from RNAcentral. Lineage: Eukaryota; Foraminifera.
AAGGGCACCACAAGAACGCGUGGAGCAUGUGGCUUAAUUUGACUCAACGCGGGAAAUCUUACCGGGUCCGGACACACUAAGGAUUGACAGGUAAAAGAAGUUCAUUCUCAUUGUUAAUCAAUGAGUCUGGCUCUGUAAAUAUGCUAGUCCUUUCAUGAUUGUGUGAUAGGUGGUGCAUGGCCGUUCUUAGUUCGUGGAAUAAUCUGUCUGCUUAAUUGCGUUAUUAUAAGGUGUCAGUGUCUAUCAACCCUCAACUUUGCUUGUCUCCAUUGUGAACAUCAUAGUUGGGGCUGGAUGCUAGUCACUCUAUGAAACGAACGUGACCCCGACCUCUUGUUACUUGAUAAAAUAAUGUCAUUUGUGGAGCAGUUGUUUACUUCGGUAAUCACUGUAUUCUCCCAUUAACGACUCGAGAUACGAGGGGGAUUGCCAAGCUCAAGCUGGAUGAAAGUCGGGGCAAUAACAGGUCUGUGAUGCCCUUAGAUGUUCCGGGCUGCACACGUGCUACAAUGAUCUAUGCAGUAAGUAUCUACAAAAGACUUCAUGUUCAGUUUAUCUGACGGAAGCAAGCCUGCUUCGAGAGUAAGUAGGUAAUCAAUUCGAAGUAUAGAUUUCCUUUUUAUAGCCGACUGUACAUGUUUCCUUUAAGGAUAACUGUACUCAGCUCUUUUUCUUAGAAUUCAUAGUGGGGACAGACCUUUGUUAAUUGUUGGUCUCGUUUUCAACUAGGAAUGCCUUGUAUGAGCCUUUGGUUCAACA